Molecule: non-coding RNA, 219 nt
Organism: Pelobates cultripes (western spadefoot toad)
Lineage: Eukaryota; Metazoa; Chordata; Amphibia; Anura; Pelobatidae
Source: the annotation of a GenBank genome assembly
CAGAACUAAAGAUUUAUUCAGACAGCGGCCUUAUAAAGCAUGUUACCAUGCAAGGGAGGGAUUUCCAUUCAUUAUUACAGUAGCCAAUCCUGUUCCGGUAACCUCCCACACAUCCCCUCCCCUCAGCCUGCAUCAUAAUCCCCUUAUCCAGGACACCAAUUCCCCCUGUUUCUGGAUGUACCCCUAAACCUAGGGGUACCACUUUAAAUUAUACAACCA